AUGGGCGAGUGUCCAAGCCCCCGUGCUGCCAGGAAGCUCCACAGCCAUCGGCAGGACCAGAAGUGGCACAAUAAGCAGUACAAGAAGGCACACUUGGGCACAGCCCUGGAGGCCAACUCCUCCAGGGGGUGAGUCCCACGCCAAGGGCAUUGUGCUGGAGAAAGUAGGGGCCAAAGCCAAACAGCCUAACUCUGCCAUCAGGAAGUGUGUCCUCGACCAGCUGACAAAGAGUAGCAGGAAGACCACAGCCUUCAUGCCCAAAGACAGCUGUUUGCACUUCAUUGAAGAGAAUGAUGAAGUUCUGGUUGCUGGAUUUGGUUGGAAAGGUCAUGCCAUUGGUGAUAUCCCUGGAGUCUGCUUUAAGGUGGUCAAAGUAGCUAAUGUCUCUCUUUUGGUCCUGUACAAAGGCAAGAAGGAAAAACCAAGAUCAUAAGUUGUGAUGCUGGAAACACUGCAGUAAUAAAUUUUCAUAUGC
RNA transcript from Carlito syrichta (Philippine tarsier), 475 nucleotides. It is a transcript of the gene named 40S ribosomal protein S23 pseudogene, with no coding region annotated. NCBI's taxonomy places the organism in Eukaryota, Metazoa, Chordata, Mammalia, Primates, Tarsiidae. The transcript has a single exon. The record is from RefSeq and is a predicted model, not a curated record.